Molecule: long non-coding RNA, 482 nt
Filed under: Mustela putorius furo (domestic ferret)
Lineage: Eukaryota; Metazoa; Chordata; Mammalia; Carnivora; Mustelidae
Description: lncRNA (ENSMPUG00000025195.1)
Source: RNAcentral
CGGGUGUUUACUAUCUUCACUAUCUUUAGUUGAUUUCAUCUACUCCUAGGACUGCAACUGCCAUUUUUUGGCUGACCACUGUCGUCACACCCGUAUCCUCUCUGAUCAUCUCCCUAGAUAGACUCAACAACUGGCUCAUCAUCCUUGCUUGGCUCUCUCUCAAUACCUCGGACACGGCACGAUGAACAUGAAACUUCUCCUACCCUGCCCAAAUGUGGUGGCAAGGGGAAUCACAGACUACUUCUAGAAUCUGGUGAAAAGCAAUCUUCUACUGUGAUGGUCAUUUUGACAUGUCACCCAGCAUUCUCACAGGGUAGAUGUUGCUAAGCACUGAGAACUGUUUGCUGGAGGUUGUAGAAUCUUCUCUUCUGGAAGGUAAGGGAGCUCUUUUAAAUACAAGGAUUUCUUAGUUCCUGAGGGUUAGGUUAAAUGUUCUCCUGCUGAAGGGGAGUGGAUUGAUCCCAUGAGUUCCCCAGGUCUCC